GCUAAUAGCGGUUCAGCACCAAAUCUUGGAUGAUUUCAUAAUAUGGAAACAAGACCAGACUGGAAAAACUACAGCAGAGAAAAGCCAUUUCACUUUGGAUCUUCUGUGACUAUUUGGUGUAGUGAUGUUUAGUAAGAUUUAAGGUACUGAAAGAUGUCCAGUGCAAUAAUUCAAGAUUUGAAUAAGCGUAUUACUAGAUUUUUGUGAAUUUACUACCUGUGGAAAGUGCUGGAUUAACAGUUCUGGUGUAUCUAUCUACUACUACUCUCAGUGCAUCCUUGGGAAAAUUAGUAAAUCUGUAUUUUGGAUAUUCCCAAGUCAUAACAACAAAGCAGAGCUCCUUGCCUGAGACCCAUGACAAAGAUACAGUGUGCAGCCUGAAGAACAGGUUGGAACUCAGACCAAGGAAUGGUUUUUAUCUCCAUGAAAAAAAAAAGGCAUGUCUUCGUGAUGGUUGGAAACAAAACCUUUUCAUAUUUGUACAGGAAGGUGCUACCCGCAGACUUCAUAAGUCAGCAGAUCGACUCUGUCUGGUCUAGAGAAUGUCUAGAACAUGGAUAUCCAUCAUCUCAUCAUUAUUAUGAAAAUGCUUUGAGUGGUAUCAGGAGUGGGGUGGAUGUGCUAUCAAGACCUGCAGUCCACAGAGCAGUGCACUGUUGUACAGUUCUAGGGCUCCAUCACCCACCCCCUCCUCCUCCUCAGCGUCGCCAGCACUACCCAACACCGUCAUUCAAAAAGACACUCUUAAAUAUCUGCAAGUUUUCUCAACAGUGUGAAAUGCUGAAGGAAAAGAGAUGAGAAGCUGGAAGUAGCUUCUGCAAUGCAUCAUUUGACAGGAAGUCAAGUUAUCGGAAUGAAGCCAUAUAGGUAUCAAUCUUACACCCAUAUAUGGUGUACAUCCCAGUUACCAUACAGAUAUGAAAGGGCCAUUAGGGCCCCUUAUCAGCUGUAUAUUGGUGUAAUUAAAGGGUUUGAUAGCAUUAACCUGAACUGUGAAAGUCUCCAGACAAUGCACUCUAUCAGUCAUCUGACCCUUGAGAUUAAACAGCUACAGUAAGAAGACUUUCUCCUCUACUUUCCAAAGGACACACUGAUUUGCUGAGUUCAGUGGACCUUUAAAGGAAAAGACUUGCUUUUUCUCCUUAAAAGCAAACUGUUCUUUUUGAUCUAGCCUUCUAAUUUAACAACAUAAAAAAAAAAAAAAAAAAGAAAUUUCUUCCUGAAUGUAUUGUUAUAUUUUGAUGAAUAUUUAAUGAAGGAUAAUGUUGAAUUUAUACCUUUUUAGUUCAUGUGUUUUUGUAGCUGUGCCUUGUUUUCCAUUUCAGCUCAUGUCCUUUUGUGGUCAAAUAACAUGAGGAUUUAGUAACUGUGUGUAUUUCAAGGGUCCAUGUAAGCCCCCAAAUUCUUGAUAUCAUUUUCCAUUUCCCAAACAAUAAGAAGUUCAGAUUUGGACCAGUAACCUAAACAAAAUCUGGAACUCAGCAGCUAAUUGCCUUUUUGUCCUGUUGUCUUGCAGAAGUGCUAAAUGAAGCCUGUCAUUUGCUAUCCCAAAGGCUUGCUAAAUUUUCAGCACAGAUGAUGGGGAACAACAAAAGCUGCUAAUCAUCAGGAAGAUUUAAUCAGCAUUUUAUUUGGGAGAAUUUGGGUAUAUCUUUGAUUCUUAGUGAAAAAGUAGUCCACAAUCUUGUUAAAAAAAAUAAAGAUAUCAAAAAAAUAAAAAGAAUAUUGUUU
Molecule: long non-coding RNA, 1731 nt
Organism: Numida meleagris (helmeted guineafowl)
Lineage: Eukaryota; Metazoa; Chordata; Aves; Galliformes; Numididae
Source: Ensembl